Molecule: ribosomal RNA, 277 nt
Filed under: uncultured bacterium
Lineage: Bacteria
Description: partial 16S ribosomal RNA
Rfam family: Bacterial small subunit ribosomal RNA
Source: RNAcentral
ACCGUCCUACGGGAGGCAGCAGUGAGGAAUAUUGGUCAAUGGGCGCGAGCCUGAACCAGCCACGUCGCGUGAGGGAUGACGGUCCUACGGAUUGUAAACCUCUUUUGCCGGGGAGCAAGCGUGCGUUCGUGAACGCACGUCGAGAGUACCCGGAGAAAAAGCAUCGGCUAACUCCGUGCCAGCAGCCGCGGUAAUACGGAGGAUGCGAGCGUUAUCCGGCAUUAUUGGGUUUAAAGGGUGCGUAGGCGGGCUGCCAAGUCAGCGGUAAAAAUGCGGU